This 798-nucleotide ribosomal RNA is filed under the name uncultured Enterobacter sp. Its description in RNAcentral is "bacterial SSU rRNA". It matches the Rfam family "Bacterial small subunit ribosomal RNA", at positions 954 to 1515 of the family's 1533-position model. The record is from RNAcentral. Lineage: Bacteria; Pseudomonadati; Pseudomonadota; Gammaproteobacteria; Enterobacterales; Enterobacteriaceae.
AUGGCCACCAUCGCCGACAUCCCUGGGGCCCGGGCCGUAGCAUCAACGACGGACCCGGCCUUAAUCAUGCGCCACCAAGCGGCGGGCGCGGGGUCACCCCCGCGGUCCUCCUCUACCCCCCUCAGGGAGACUCUCGGCGCCCUGCUUGCGAUGCCAGUCUACCGCUCGAGCACUACCGAUUUCACAUAUGCCCAACGCACCAACCCACGUGCCGUUUACGUCCACAUCUUUCCGGCGUCCCCGCAAACACCCUCCCCUAUCCACGGACUCCAGCCAAGUUGAUAGAGAAGGCUUUCUUCGCUGACGGACGUACCGACCCAGACCCUGUAUGGCUCUCCUCCGUUCCGCUCGUGAAAUAGUGCGCUAAGUCCCGCAGCGAGCGCAACCCUUAUCCUUUGUUGUCAGUCGGUUCGGCAGCCAACUCAAAGGACACUGCCCCUGAUAAAUUCGAGGAAGGUGGGGAUGACGUCAAGUCACCAUGGCCCUUACGAGUAGGGCUACACACGUGCUACAAUGGCGUAUACAAAGAGAAGCGACCUCGCGAGAGCAAGCGGACCUCAUAAAGUACGUCGUAGUCCGGAUUGGAGUCUGCAACUCGGCUCCAUGAAGUCGGAAUCGCUAGUAAUCGUAGAUCAGAAUGCUACGGUGAAUACGUUCCCGGGCCUUGUACACACCGCCCGUCACACCAUGGGAGUGGGUUGCAAAAGAAGUAGGUAGCUUAACCUUCGGGAGGGCGCUUACCACUUUGUGAUUCAUGACUGGGGUGAAGUCGUAACAAGGUAGCCGAAAUCGAAUUCC